This 736-nucleotide ribosomal RNA is filed under the name Buttiauxella sp. 110518_136_C_A8. RNAcentral describes it as "bacterial SSU rRNA". It matches the Rfam family "Bacterial small subunit ribosomal RNA", at positions 22 to 747 of the family's 1533-position model. The record is from RNAcentral. Lineage: Bacteria; Pseudomonadati; Pseudomonadota; Gammaproteobacteria; Enterobacterales; Enterobacteriaceae.
GCUCAGAUUGAACGCUGGCGGCAGGCCUAACACAUGCAAGUCGAGCGGUAACACAGGAGAGCUUGCUCUCUGGGUGACGAGCGGCGGACGGGUGAGUAAUGUCUGGGAAACUGCCCGAUGGAGGGGGAUAACUACUGGAAACGGUAGCUAAUACCGCAUAACGUCUUCGGACCAAAGAGGGGGACCUUCGGGCCUCUUGCCAUCGGAUGUGCCCAGAUGGGAUUAGCUAGUAGGUGGGGUAAUGGCUCACCUAGGCGACGAUCCCUAGCUGGUCUGAGAGGAUGACCAGCCACACUGGAACUGAGACACGGUCCAGACUCCUACGGGAGGCAGCAGUGGGGAAUAUUGCACAAUGGGCGCAAGCCUGAUGCAGCCAUGCCGCGUGUAUGAAGAAGGCCUUCGGGUUGUAAAGUACUUUCAGCGAGGAGGAAGGCAUUAAGGUUAAUAACCUUAGUGAUUGACGUUACUCGCAGAAGAAGCACCGGCUAACUCCGUGCCAGCAGCCGCGGUAAUACGGAGGGUGCAAGCGUUAAUCGGAAUUACUGGGCGUAAAGCGCACGCAGGCGGUCUGUCAAGUCGGAUGUGAAAUCCCCGGGCUCAACCUGGGAACUGCAUUCGAAACUGGCAGGCUAGAGUCUUGUAGAGGGGGGUAGAAUUCCAGGUGUAGCGGUGAAAUGCGUAGAGAUCUGGAGGAAUACCGGUGGCGAAGGCGGCCCCCUGGACAAAGACUGACGCU